RNAcentral lists this ribosomal RNA (551 nucleotides) under Escherichia coli. Its description in RNAcentral is "partial 23S ribosomal RNA". It matches the Rfam family "Bacterial large subunit ribosomal RNA", at positions 1 to 591 of the family's 2925-position model. The record is from RNAcentral. Lineage: Bacteria; Pseudomonadati; Pseudomonadota; Gammaproteobacteria; Enterobacterales; Enterobacteriaceae.
GGUUAAGCGACUAAGCGUACACGGUGGAUGCCCUGGCAGUCAGAGGCGAUGAAGGACGUGCUAAUCUGCGAUAAGCGUCGGUAAGGUGAUAUGAACCGUUAUAACCGGCGAUUUCCGAAUGGGGAAACCCAGUGUGAUUUGUCACACUAUCAUUAACUGAAUCCAUAGGUUAAUGAGGCGAACCGGGGGAACUGAAACAUCUAAGUACCCCGAGGAAAAGAAAUCAACCGAGAUUCCCCCAGUAGCGGCGAGCGAACGGGGAGGAGCCCAGAGCCUGAAUCAGUGUGUGUGUUAGUGGAAGCGUCUGGAAAGGCGCGCGAUACAGGGUGACAGCCCCGUACACAAAAAUGCACAUGCUGUGAGCUCGAUGAGUAGGGCGGGACACGUGGUAUCCUGUCUGAAUAUGGGGGGACCAUCCUCCAAGGCUAAAUACUCCUGACUGACCGAUAGUGAACCAGUACCGUGAGGGAAAGGCGAAAAGAACCCCGGCGAGGGGAGUGAAAAAGAACCUGAAACCGUGUACGUACAAGCAGUGGGAGCACGCUUCGGCG